Long non-coding RNA from Cynocephalus volans (Philippine flying lemur), 467 nucleotides. RefSeq lists it as uncharacterized. The transcript is spliced from 3 exons. NCBI's taxonomy places the organism in Eukaryota, Metazoa, Chordata, Mammalia, Dermoptera, Cynocephalidae. The record is from RefSeq and is a predicted model, not a curated record.
UGGAAAAAACCCAUCAGCUGCAAUGGCCCAGGGACCACACGCUAUCUAUUAAUAAGGGGAUCGCAACCCUUGGCACGGUGUGAUUGGCACCACGCUCAGCCAGUGAGUGUACCGGCCAUCCCUAUAUAGGAUCCGAACCCACGGCCUCGGCGCUACCAGCACUGCACUCUCCCGAGUGAGCCACGGGGCCGGCCCUAUGUGUCCUGGUUAUAAGGAUGAGUGGCUCUGAUCCAUGGUGCCUCCCAUCCCCGGGGGUGAAGGGGAGGCCACUACUGCUGCUGGAGGUUGCUGCUGCUAGUGCCCCCGGGAUCCUCUGCAGGGCCACUGCCACUACCAGACCUAUAAACUACCGGACCUGUAAGCUGCUGCUGCUGAGAAAGCUGAGGACUGAGCUCAUGUCAUCUGCCAACAGCUCCUGGAAUCUUUCCCAAUUACCUAGCAUGAACCUGCAUGUGAGGGGUCUGGUG